UAUGAGGUGGUCGAUUUAAGUCGGUAGAUUGUAAAUCUAUGAAUGAGUAUAUACUUUCUCAUAA
RNAcentral lists this transfer RNA (64 nucleotides) under Euprymna sp. Type 4 GS-2021. RNAcentral's name for it is "tRNA-Tyr". Lineage: Eukaryota; Metazoa; Mollusca; Cephalopoda; Sepiida; Sepiolidae. The record is from RNAcentral.